UACGGAGGGCGCAAGCGUUGCCCGGAAUCACUGGGUGUAAAGGGUGCGUAGGCGGGGCUGUAAGUCAGGGGUGAAAUCCUUCGGCUCAACCGGAGAAUUGCCCCUGAUACUGCAGCUCUUGAGUCCCGGAGAGGCCGCUGGAAUUCGUGGUGUAGCGGUGAAAUGCGUAGAUAUCACGAGGAACACCAGAGGCGAAGGCAGGCGGCUAGACGGGUACUGACGCUGAGGCACGAAAGCGUGGGGAGCAAACAGG
This 253-nucleotide ribosomal RNA is filed under the name uncultured bacterium. RNAcentral describes it as "partial 16S ribosomal RNA". It matches the Rfam family "Bacterial small subunit ribosomal RNA", at positions 524 to 776 of the family's 1533-position model. The record is from RNAcentral.